This 253-nucleotide ribosomal RNA is filed under the name uncultured bacterium. Its description in RNAcentral is "partial 16S ribosomal RNA". It matches the Rfam family "Bacterial small subunit ribosomal RNA", at positions 524 to 776 of the family's 1533-position model. The record is from RNAcentral.
GACGUAGGGCGCGAGCGUUGUCCGGAUUUAUUGGGCGUAAAGAGCUCGUAGGCGGUUUGUCGCGUCUGCUGUGAAAACCUGAGGCUCAACCUCGGGCUUGCAGUGGGUACGGGCAGACUAGAGUGUGGUAGGGGAGACUGGAAUUCCUGGUGUAGCGGUGGAAUGCGCAGAUAUCAGGAGGAACACCGAUGGCGAAGGCAGGUCUCUGGGCCAUUACUGACACUGAGAAGCGAAAGCAUGGGGAGCGAACAGG